Molecule: ribosomal RNA, 427 nt
Filed under: uncultured Massilia sp.
Lineage: Bacteria; Pseudomonadati; Pseudomonadota; Betaproteobacteria; Burkholderiales; Oxalobacteraceae
Description: bacterial SSU rRNA
Rfam family: Bacterial small subunit ribosomal RNA
Source: RNAcentral
AGUGGGGAAUUUUGGACAAUGGGCGCAAGCCUGAUCCAGCAAUGCCGCGUGAGUGAAGAAGGCCUUCGGGUUGUAAAGCUCUUUUGUCAGGGAAGAAACGGUAGGGGCUAAUAUCCCUUGCUAAUGACGGUACCUGAAGAAUAAGCACCGGCUAACUACGUGCCAGCAGCCGCGGUAAUACGUAGGGUGCAAGCGUUAAUCGGAAUUACUGGGCGUAAAGCGUGCGCAGGCGGUUUUGUAAGUCUGUCGUGAAAGCCCCGGGCUCAACCUGGGAAUUGCGAUGGAGACUGCAAGGCUUGAAUCUGGCAGAGGGGGGUAGAAUUCCACGUGUAGCAGUGAAAUGCGUAGAGAUGUGGAGGAACACCGAUGGCGAAGGCAGCCCCCUGGGUCAAGAUUGACGCUCAUGCACGAAAGCGUGGGGAGCAAA